CGAACGCUGGCGGCGUGCUUAACACAUGCAAGUCGAGCGGUAAGGCCCUUUCGGGGGUACACGAGCGGCGAACGGGUGAGUAACACGUGGGUGACCUGCCCUCAGCUCUGGGAUAAGCCUGGGAAACUGGGUCUAAUACUGGAUAUGACUCCACGGUGCAUGUCGUGGGGUGGAAAGCCUUGUGCGGCUGAGGAUGGGCCCGCGGCCUAUCAGCUUGUUGGUGGGGUGAUGGCCUACCAAGGCGACGACGGGUAGCCGGCCUGAGAGGGCGACCGGCCACACUGGGACUGAGACACGGCCCAGACUCCUACGGGAGGCAGCAGUGGGGAAUCUUGCGCAAUGGGCGAAAGCCUGACGCAGCGACGCCGCGUGAGGGAUGACGGCCU
This 386-nucleotide ribosomal RNA is filed under the name uncultured bacterium. Its description in RNAcentral is "bacterial SSU rRNA". It matches the Rfam family "Bacterial small subunit ribosomal RNA", at positions 30 to 417 of the family's 1533-position model. The record is from RNAcentral.